RNAcentral lists this ribosomal RNA (503 nucleotides) under uncultured bacterium. RNAcentral's name for it is "partial 16S ribosomal RNA". It matches the Rfam family "Bacterial small subunit ribosomal RNA", at positions 30 to 523 of the family's 1533-position model. The record is from RNAcentral.
AUUGAACGCUGGCGGCAGGCUUAACACAUGCAAGUCGAGCGGGGUGAUGGUGCUUGCACUAUCACUUAGCGGCGGACGGGUGAGUAAUGCUUAGGAAUCUGCCUAUUAGUGGGGGACAACAUCUCGAAAGGGAUGCUAAUACCGCAUACGUCCUACGGGAGAAAGCAGGGGAUCACUUGUGACCUUGCGCUAAUAGAUGAGCCUAAGUCGGAUUAGCUAGUUGGUGGGGUAAGGGCCUACCAAGGCGACGAUCUGUAGCGGGUCUGAGAGGAUGAUCCGCCACACUGGGACUGAGACACGGCCCAGACUCCUACGGGAGGCAGCAGUGGGGAAUAUUGGACAAUGGGGGGAACCCUGAUCCAGCCAUGCCGCGUGUGUGAAGGAGGCCUUAUGGUUGUAAAGCACUUUAGGCGAGGAGGAGGCUCUUUUGGUUAAUACCCAAGAUGAGUGGACGUUACUCGCAGAAUAAGCACCGGCUAACUCUGUGCCAGCCGCCGCGGUAA